This 467-nucleotide ribosomal RNA is filed under the name uncultured bacterium. RNAcentral's name for it is "partial 16S ribosomal RNA". It matches the Rfam family "Bacterial small subunit ribosomal RNA", at positions 28 to 507 of the family's 1533-position model. The record is from RNAcentral.
GACGAACGCUGGCGGCGUGCUUAACACAUGCAAGUCGAACGGAAAGGCCCUGCUUUUGUGGGGUGCUCGAGUGCGAACGGGUGAGUAACACGUGAGUAACCUGCCCUUGACUUUGGGAUAACUUCAGGAAACUGGGGCUAAUACCGGCUAGGAGCUCCUGCUGCCUGGUGGGGGUUGGAAAGUUUCGGCGGUUGGGGAUGGACUCGCGGCUUAUCAGCUUGUUGGUGGGGUAGUGGCUUACCAAGGCUUUGACGGGUAGCCGGCCUGAGAGGGUGACCGGCCACAUUGGGACUGAGAUACGGCCCAGACUCAUACGGGAGGCAGCAGUGGGGAAUAUUGCACAAUGGGCGGAAGCCUGAUGCAGCAACGCCGCGUGCGGGAUGACGGCCUUCGGGUUGUAAACCGCUUUCGCCUGUGACGAAGCGUGAGUGACGGUAAUGGGUAAAGAAGCACCGGCUAACUACGUG